CAUUUUUAAGAUCCCUCAUAGACUCGGGCAUGACAGAGAAAUUCACUUCAAGUUGAACUCUAGCUAUGCCUGGCUGGGCUUUUGGAUUGACAAUUUUGCAUUUCUUUUUUGGAGACAUCUGCAAAUGAUUGAAAUGA
Amblyraja radiata (thorny skate) is the source of this 137-nucleotide long non-coding RNA. RefSeq lists it as uncharacterized. Lineage: Eukaryota; Metazoa; Chordata; Chondrichthyes; Rajiformes; Rajidae. The transcript has 3 exons. The record is from RefSeq and is a predicted model, not a curated record.